Molecule: ribosomal RNA, 468 nt
Filed under: uncultured bacterium
Lineage: Bacteria
Description: partial 16S ribosomal RNA
Rfam family: Bacterial small subunit ribosomal RNA
Source: RNAcentral
GACGAACGCUGGCGGCGUGCUUAACACAUGCAAGUCGAACGGAAAGGCCCUGCUUUUGUGGGGUGCUCGAGUGGCGAACGGGUGAGUAACACGUGAGUAACCUGCCCUUGACUUUGGGAUAACUUCAGGAAACUGGGGCUAAUACCGGAUAGGAGCUCCUGCUGCAUGGUGGGGGUUGGAAAGUUUCGGCGGUUGGGGAUGGACUCGCGGCUUAUCAGCUUGUUGGUGGGGUAGUGGCUUACCAAGGCUUUGACGGGUAGCCGGCCUGAGAGGGUGACCGGCCACAUUGGGACUGAGAUACGGACCAGACUCCUACGGGAGGCAGCAGUGGGGAAUAUUGCACAAUGGGCGGAAGCCUGAUGCAGAAACGCUGCGUGCGGGAUGACGGCCUUCGGGUUGUAAACCGCUUUCGCCUGUGACGAAGAGUGAGUGACGGUAAUGGGUAAAGAAGCACCGGCUAACUACGUG